This is an unclassified non-coding RNA of Callithrix jacchus (white-tufted-ear marmoset), 148 nucleotides long. It matches the Rfam family "Metazoan signal recognition particle RNA". Rfam says of the family: The signal recognition particle (SRP) is a universally conserved ribonucleoprotein. The record is from Ensembl. NCBI's taxonomy places the organism in Eukaryota, Metazoa, Chordata, Mammalia, Primates, Cebidae.
GCCGGGCAUGGUGGCAGGUGCCUGUAAUCCCAGCCACUCAGGAGGCUGAGGCAGGGGAAUCACUUGAAUCUGGGAGACGGAGGUUGCAGUGAGCUGAGAUCAUGCCACUGCACCCCAUCCUAGGUGAUAGAGUGAGACCCUGCCUCCA